UACAGAGGUCUCGAGCGUUAGGCGGAAUCACUGGGCUUAAAGCGUGUGUAGGCGGAUUGCUAAGUACCUUGUGAAAUCCCACGGCUUAACCGUGGAACUGCUUGGUAUACUGGCUGUCUUGAGCCACUUAGGGGCAACCGGAACAAACGGUGGAGCGGUGAAAUGCGUAGAUAUCGUUUGGAACGCCAAUGGUGAAAACAGGUUGCUGGGAGUGUGCUGACGCUGAGACGCGAAAGCCAGGGGAGCGAACGGG
RNAcentral lists this ribosomal RNA (253 nucleotides) under uncultured bacterium. RNAcentral's name for it is "partial 16S ribosomal RNA". It matches the Rfam family "Bacterial small subunit ribosomal RNA", at positions 524 to 776 of the family's 1533-position model. The record is from RNAcentral.